Molecule: ribosomal RNA, 481 nt
Filed under: uncultured bacterium
Lineage: Bacteria
Description: partial 16S ribosomal RNA
Rfam family: Bacterial small subunit ribosomal RNA
Source: RNAcentral
GACGAACGCUGGCGGCGUGCUUAACACAUGCAAGUCGAACGCUGAAGCCCUUUCGGGGGUGGAUGAGUGGCGAACGGGUGAGUAACACGUGGGUAAUCUGCCCUGCACUCUGGGAUAAGCCUUGGAAACGGGGUCUAAUACCGGAUAGGACACAUCGCCGCAUGGUGUGUGUGUGGAAAGCUCCGGCGGUGCAUGUUGAGCCCGCGGCCUAUCAGCUUGUUGGUGGGGUGAUGGCCUACCAAGGCGACGACGGGUAGCCGGCCUGUGAGGGUGACCGGCCACACAGGGACUGAGGCACGGCCCAGACUCCUAAGGGAGGCAGCAGUGGGGAAUCUUGCGCAAGGGGCGAAAGCCUGACGCAGCAACGCCGCGUGGGGGAUGACGGCCUUCGGGUUGUAAACUUCUUUCGACCGGGACGAAGGGUGACUGACGGUACCGGUAGAAGAAGCACCGGCUAACUACGUGCCAGCCGCCGCCGUAA